GGAGAUUGAAAAUUCAUUCACUUUAUCUUAGCGCGCAGGACCCUUUUCUCUGCUUAAACUUUUUUCGAACGAAGUUUGACGACCAUCAUAUGUAAUCUUUCUUUCAUUUGAUAUAAAUACAUGUUAAUUAACUACUUUAGGUAUGAUCUUCAUUUGUUUUCACCAAUUAUUUUUGUGUUCUUGUCCUUCAUAGGCGCAUUCUCU
Molecule: long non-coding RNA, 204 nt
Filed under: Vigna radiata
Lineage: Eukaryota; Viridiplantae; Streptophyta; Magnoliopsida; Fabales; Fabaceae
Description: long non-coding RNA (VRAD_LNC016040)
Source: RNAcentral